This 364-nucleotide ribosomal RNA is filed under the name uncultured bacterium. Its description in RNAcentral is "partial 16S ribosomal RNA". It matches the Rfam family "Bacterial small subunit ribosomal RNA", at positions 338 to 699 of the family's 1533-position model. The record is from RNAcentral.
CCUACGGGCGGCAGCAGUGAGGAAUAUUGGACAAUGGACGGAAGUCUGAACCAGCCACGCCGCGUGCAGGAAGACGGCUCUAUGAGUUGUAAACUGCUUUUGUACAAGGGUAAAUCUGAAUACGUGUAUUCAGCUGAAAGUAUUGUACGAAUAAGGAUCGGCUAACUCCGUGCCAGCAGCCGCGGUAAUACGGAGGGUGCAAGCGUUAUCCGGAUUUAUUGGGUUGAAAGGGUGCGUAGGCGGAUUGAUAAGCUUGAGGUGAAAUGUCCGGGCUUAACUCGGGAACUGCUUUGGAUACUGUUGAUCGAGAGUGUAGGUGCGGUAGGCGGAAUGUAUGGUGUAGCGGUGAAAUGCUUAGAGAUCA